This 72-nucleotide transfer RNA is filed under the name Gemmatimonadaceae bacterium. RNAcentral describes it as "tRNA-Glu". It matches the Rfam family "tRNA". From Rfam's summary of the family: Transfer RNA (tRNA) molecules are approximately 80 nucleotides in length. Their secondary structure includes four short double-helical elements and three loops (D, anti-codon, and T loops). Lineage: Bacteria; Pseudomonadati; Gemmatimonadota; Gemmatimonadia; Gemmatimonadales; Gemmatimonadaceae. The record is from RNAcentral.
GGCGCGUUCGUCUAUCGGUUAGGACGGGACCCUUUCAAGGUCUAGAGACGGGUUCGACUCCCGUACGCGCUA